Long non-coding RNA from Alligator sinensis (Chinese alligator), 657 nucleotides. RefSeq lists it as uncharacterized. The record is from RefSeq and is a predicted model, not a curated record. Lineage: Eukaryota; Metazoa; Chordata; Crocodylia; Alligatoridae. The transcript has 4 exons.
GGUGCGGGAUGGCCAGUGGAGCGCCUGCCGUAGUCGCAUCUUCAAGAACAGCGAAGUGUUGGGUGGUCUUCUGGUGAUUCAAGAGCAAAAGCAAGAAACGUUUGUUACAGCUGUCAGAAUCUUUUUGCUAGUAUUAGCCAUUUUUCCCAUGGUUCUGGCAGUUAAAGUUGAGUUGUGACUAUGGCUCAUCGGUUUUCAAAAGAAGAACUAGAUGAGCAAUUUGAACAGUUUCUGAAAGAGUCUCUUUCAGAUGAUUCGUUUGGACAUUCAAAAGAAAAGUCCAGUGUUCUUGAGACACUGGGGAAACCCAGUAGGAAAGAAUCGAAAAAAAAAGAUGCUGUGCCAUGGUGGAUAGCUGAGGAUGAUUCUGAUGAUGGUGGUAAAUAUUGUGUGUGCACAUAUCUGUAUAACUUCUUGGUUUUUUCUGCCACAGGGUGUCAGUAAAGAUCUUUCUUUCUUUCUUUCUUUUUUACAUUCAGAGUAGCAUUGAUAAAACAUGUAGGUCAAAAAUACUUGCAUCUUUAACAUAUUAGUGUGCCUGUUUGCUGAAAGGAAAACUAAGCAAAUGUAUGAAACACUUGCAUUUAAAUCUUGAUCUGAAGGAAGAUUCAAGCUGUAAACUAGAUCUUCUCUACUGUGUUGUUUCUUUUUUUUGUU